UACGUAGGGUGCAAGCGUUAAUCGGAAUUACUGGGCGUAAAGCGUGCGCAGGCGGUGAUGUAAGACAGAUGUGAAAUCCCCGGGCUCAACCUGGGAACUGCAUUUGUGACUGCAUCGCUGGAGUACGGCAGAGGGGGAUGGAAUUCCGCGUGUAGCAGUGAAAUGCGUAGAUAUGCGGAGGAACACCGAUGGCGAAGGCAGGUCUCUGGGCUGACACUGACGCUCAUGCACGAAAGCGUGGGGAGCAAACAGG
RNAcentral lists this ribosomal RNA (253 nucleotides) under uncultured bacterium. RNAcentral's name for it is "partial 16S ribosomal RNA". It matches the Rfam family "Bacterial small subunit ribosomal RNA", at positions 524 to 776 of the family's 1533-position model. The record is from RNAcentral.